This 492-nucleotide ribosomal RNA is filed under the name uncultured bacterium. Its description in RNAcentral is "partial 16S ribosomal RNA". It matches the Rfam family "Bacterial small subunit ribosomal RNA", at positions 29 to 507 of the family's 1533-position model. The record is from RNAcentral.
AGUGAACGCUGGCGGUAGGCCUAACACAUGCAAGUCGAACGGCAGCACAGUAAGAGCUUGCUCUUACGGGUGGCGAGUGGCGGACGGGUGAGGAAUACAUCGGAAUCUACUUUUUCGUGGGGGAUAACGUAGGGAAACUUACGCCAAUACCGCAUACGACCUACGGGUGAAAGCAGGGGAUCUUCGGACCUUGCGCGAUUGAAUGAGCCGAUGUCGGAUUAGCUAGUUGGCGGGGUAAAGGCCAACCAAGGCGCCGAUCCGUAGCUGGUCUGAGAGGAUGAUCGGCCACACUGGAACUGAGACACGGUCCAGACUCCUACGGGAGGCAGCAGUGGGGAAUAUUGGACAAUGGGCGCAAGCCUGAUCCAGCCAUACCGCGUGGGUGAAGAAGGCGUUCGGGUUGUAAAGCCCUUUUGUUGGGAAAGAAAAGCAGCAGGUUAAUACCCCGCUGUUCUGACGGUACCCAAAGAAUAAGCACCGGCUAACUUCGUG